RNAcentral lists this ribosomal RNA (483 nucleotides) under uncultured beta proteobacterium. Its description in RNAcentral is "bacterial SSU rRNA". It matches the Rfam family "Bacterial small subunit ribosomal RNA", at positions 30 to 508 of the family's 1533-position model. Lineage: Bacteria; Pseudomonadati; Pseudomonadota; Betaproteobacteria. The record is from RNAcentral.
AUUGAACGCUGGCGGAAUGCUUUACACAUGCAAGUCGAACGGCAGCACGGGGGCAACCUUGGUGGCGAGUGGCGAACGGGUGAGUAAUGUAUCGGAACGUACCCAGUCGUGGGGGAUAACUAUCCGAAAGGAUAGCUAAUACCGCAUACGUCCUGAGGGAGAAAGCAGGGGACCCUCGGGCCUUGCGCGAACGGAGCGGCCGAUGGCAGAUUAGGUAGUUGGUGGGAUAAAAGCUUACCAAGCCGACGAUCUGUAGCUGGUCUGAGAGGACGACCAGCCACACUGGGACUGAGACACGGCCCAGACUCUACGGGAGGCAGCAGUGGGGAAUUUUGGACAAUGGGCGAAAGCCUGAUCCAGCAAUGCCGCGUGCAGGAUGAAGGCUUCGGGUUGUAAACUGCUUUUGUACGGAACGAAAAGUCUCGGGAUAAUACCCUGGGACCAUGACGGUACCGUAAGAAUAAGCACCGGCUAACUACGUGC